This 253-nucleotide ribosomal RNA is filed under the name uncultured bacterium. Its description in RNAcentral is "partial 16S ribosomal RNA". It matches the Rfam family "Bacterial small subunit ribosomal RNA", at positions 524 to 776 of the family's 1533-position model. The record is from RNAcentral.
UACGGAGGGAGCUAGCGUUGUUCGGAAUUACUGGGCGUAAAGCGCACGUAGGCGGCUUUGUAAGUUAGAGGUGAAAGCCCGGGGCUCAACCCCGGAAUUGCCUUUAAGACUGCAUCGCUUGAAUCCAGGAGAGGUGAGUGGAAUUCCGAGUGUAGAGGUGAAAUUCGUAGAUAUUCGCAAGAACACCAGUGGCGAAGGCGGCUCACUGGCCCGGUACUGACGCUGAGGUGCGAAAGCGUGGGGAGCAAACAGG